Molecule: ribosomal RNA, 253 nt
Filed under: uncultured bacterium
Lineage: Bacteria
Description: partial 16S ribosomal RNA
Rfam family: Bacterial small subunit ribosomal RNA
Source: RNAcentral
UACAGAGGGUGCGAGCGUUGUCCGGAAUCACUGGGCGUAAAGGGCGCGUAGGCGGCCUUCUAAGUCGAACGUGAAAUCCCCGGGCUCAACCCGGGAACUGCGUCCGAUACUGGAAGGCUUGAAUCCGGGAGAGGGAUGCGGAAUUCCAGGUGUAGCGGUGAAAUGCGUAGAUAUCUGGAGGAACACCGGUGGCGAAGGCGGCAUCCUGGACCGGUAUUGACGCUGAGGAGCGAAAGCGUGGGGAGCAAACAGG